CAAUAACGUAUAUUAAAGUUGUUGCAGUUAAAAAGCUCGUAGUUGGAUUUGUGGCGUACGGUGUGUUCCGGGCACUUGUUGUCUGAGUAACCUGCUGUUGCCAUCCUUGGGUGGAACCUGUGUGGCAUUAGGUUGUCGUGCAGGGGAUGCCCAUCAUUUACUGUGAAAAAAUUAGAGUGUUCAAAGCAGGCUUAUGCCGUUGAAUAUAUUAGCAUGGAAUAAUGAGAUAGGACUUUUUUGCUAUUUUGUUGGUUUGCGCAAGAAGGUAAUGAUUAAUAGGGACAGUUGGGGGUAUUCGUAUUCCAUUGUCAGAGGUGAAAUUCUUGGAUUUUUGGAAGACGAACUACUGCGAAAGCAUUUACCAAGGAUGUUUUCAUUAA
Molecule: ribosomal RNA, 380 nt
Filed under: uncultured eukaryote
Lineage: Eukaryota
Description: partial 18S ribosomal RNA
Rfam family: Eukaryotic small subunit ribosomal RNA
Source: RNAcentral